GGGUGGGGGUGAGAUUCGUAGGAUAGGAGGAGCGAGGAGGGCUCUGUUGUUGUUUUUUCUUUUUUGUGCGGUACGUAUUUUUUCUACACUUGAGAACCACGGGAGCCGGGAUUAAAAGGCACGUGGGGACAGCGGUGGCAGAUUCGUAAUUUCAGUGAAGUGACGUACUGCGACGACCGUACCAUCACCACCGACUCCAAUUUAAUAUAUUGGUAUAGAUAUUUCCAUUAGAUUUGACUUGCAAAACUGAGAUCUCUCAUAUGUUUUGUAUUUAACAUCUGGCAUUUGAGACUAUGUAAAUUUAAAACGACAUACGUACAUAACGCGCAAACACUCCCCAACAAAACGAUGUGUGAAAUCGAGUAUGAUUAAUAACCAUAUGAACCGUAGGAAUAAUAAAUAUCAGUUAAAUCCCAUUUAAGAAAAUUCUGUAUUUUGCUUGUUCCUCGUCUUCUCAAACAAUUCACAUUUCGUCACGGAGCCGACGAUCCGAAGCGGUUUUCUCGAUGACUAUGCUUUUUUUACCCAAGUUUCCACAUGGCUUUCAAAGUGGUAUCCAGUUUCUUCCUUCUCAUCCUGCACGAACAUUUGGUCGAUCAGUUGGUGGGCAUAGCCUAGAUCCUAACUGAAUUCUCAAGGGCACCGACCUUUAGCCGUCUACAAAACCCAAGUCCUGG
This 677-nucleotide long non-coding RNA is filed under the name Brachypodium distachyon (stiff brome). RNAcentral describes it as "long non-coding RNA (BDIS_LNC003122)". Lineage: Eukaryota; Viridiplantae; Streptophyta; Magnoliopsida; Poales; Poaceae. The record is from RNAcentral.